UUGAACGCUGGCGGCAUGCCUUACACAUGCAAGUCGAACGGUAACAGGUCUUCGGAUGCUGACGAGUGGCGAACGGGUGAGUAAUACAUCGGAACGUGCCCGAUCGUGGGGGAUAACGCAGCGAAAGCUGUGCUAAUACCGCAUACGAUCUACGGAUGAAAGCAGGGGACCGCAAGGCCUUGCGCGGACGGAGCGGCCGAUGGCAGAUUAGGUAGUUGGUGGGAUAAAAGCUUACCAAGCCGACGAUCUGUAGCUGGUCUGAGAGGACGACCAGCCACACUGGGACUGAGGCACGGCCCAGACUCCUACGGGAGGCAGCAGUGGGGAAUUUUGGACAAUGGGGGAAACCCUGAUCCAGCCAUGCCGCGUGCAGGAUGAAGGCCUUCGGGUUGUAAACUGCUUUCAGCAGGAACGAAACGGUCGGCUUUAAUAAAGUCGGCUAAUGACGGUACCUGCAGAAGAAGCACCGGCUAACUACGU
This 480-nucleotide ribosomal RNA is filed under the name uncultured bacterium. RNAcentral's name for it is "bacterial SSU rRNA". It matches the Rfam family "Bacterial small subunit ribosomal RNA", at positions 30 to 506 of the family's 1533-position model. The record is from RNAcentral.